AUCACCAUUACCUUAUCACUGUCAUCACCUCUAUCACCAUCAUCACCAUCAGCACCAUCAUCAUCAUGGAAUAUAUCAAAACACAUCGCACUUGGAUUCGGCCCAGGGAAUAAGAACUCUUUCCUGAGAAACCCAGCUGAUCUGAGGCCAAAGAAAGAAAACUUGUGAAGUCCUGGGGAGAGGAUUCAGACACACAGGUCUCUUGUAUGGCCACUUAGAGAACUUGUCCCUUGCCUUCCCCAUAGAGAAAUUGAAUCUGUAUUACUGGAAACCACCAGUGGCAAUGUGCCUGCACAGCACAGCCUGGAUGUGAUUUUUAAACAUAAUCAUUUUAUUGAAAGAGGCCUCAUAGGUGUCACCAUGGGAAUGCAGAACAAAUACUACAUUCUAUUGGUUGAAACCAAGGUCAAAAUUGACAAAGCCUUCAGUCAUACUUCUGGGCGUAAAGGGGAGCUGAAGAGAAUGGUAUCCCCAAGAGAGUGAUCUGUUGCCCAGCAUGGGGGCAGGAGACAGUGAGGACUCAGCACCCUGAAGGUCUGGUGCACAGGGGUGUGUAUAAUGAUCACCACCACUUCACUCUCAACUCUUUGCUAUUCUUGGGCUUUCCUGGAGGUGAGAUCAUCGUGUCUGUGCAUUGAACUUAUUCUCCCGGAGUGCAUGGUUGGAACCUCACUCCUUCCAUUGUAUGGUACAGCUAGAUGGGUGGAUCUUUAGCUGGUAUAGAGGCCAUGAGGAUAGACCCCUCUGGAAUGAGUGCUCUGAUUGAAGGGACCAGAGGAAGCCUUUGACCUUUUGCUCUUCCUCAAGAAGCAAUGAGAAGCCACCUUUCUAACCCAGGACCCGAACACGUUGGCAUCUUGUUCUCAGCUACCGGGACCAUGAGAAAGGAUAUUUGGUUGUUUAUAGAUC
This 909-nucleotide long non-coding RNA is filed under the name Rattus norvegicus (Norway rat). RNAcentral describes it as "long non-coding RNA NONRATT010984". Lineage: Eukaryota; Metazoa; Chordata; Mammalia; Rodentia; Muridae. The record is from RNAcentral.